GACGAACGCUGGCGGCGUGCUUAACACAUGCAAGUCGAGCGGAAAGGCACUGCGUUCUUGGGGUGCUCGAGUGGCGAACGGGUGCGUAACACGUGAGUAACCUGCCCUUGACUUUGGGAUAACUUCAGGAAACUGGGGCUACUCUCGGAUAGGAUCUCCUGCUGCAUGGAGGGGGUUGGAACGUCUCGGCGGUAGGGGAUGGACUGGCGGCUUACCAGCUUGUUGGUGGGGGAGGGGCAUACCGAGGCUUUGGCGGGUAGCCGGCCUGUGAGGGUGGCCGGCCACAAUGGGACUGAGAGACGGAGCAGAGUGGAACGGGAGGCAACAGGGGGGAGUAUUGCACAGUGGGCGGAAGUGGGAGGCAGCGGCGCCGCGGUCGGAAAGACGGCCUGUGGGGUGUGAACAGCAGUCGCCUGUUACGAAGCGGUAGUGACGGUAAUGGAUAAAGAAGCACCGGCUAACUACGUG
RNAcentral lists this ribosomal RNA (468 nucleotides) under uncultured bacterium. RNAcentral's name for it is "partial 16S ribosomal RNA". It matches the Rfam family "Bacterial small subunit ribosomal RNA", at positions 28 to 507 of the family's 1533-position model. The record is from RNAcentral.